RNAcentral lists this ribosomal RNA (198 nucleotides) under uncultured bacterium. RNAcentral's name for it is "partial 16S ribosomal RNA". It matches the Rfam family "Bacterial small subunit ribosomal RNA", at positions 1303 to 1500 of the family's 1533-position model. The record is from RNAcentral.
GUCUGCAACCCGACUACAUGAAGCUGGAAUCGCUAGUAAUCGCGGAUCAGAAUGCCGCGGUGAAUACGUUCCCGGGUCUUGUACACACCGCCCGUCACACCAUGGGAGUCGGAAAUGCCCGAAGUCUGUGACCCAACCUUAGGGAGGGAGCAGCCGAAGGCAGGUCCGGUAACUGGGGUGAAGUCGUAACAAGGUAGC